Molecule: transfer RNA, 74 nt
Filed under: Chloroflexota bacterium
Lineage: Bacteria; Bacillati; Chloroflexota
Also listed under: 2 other names
Description: Chloroflexi bacterium (bioreactor metagenome) tRNA-Pro
Rfam family: tRNA
About the family: Transfer RNA (tRNA) molecules are approximately 80 nucleotides in length. Their secondary structure includes four short double-helical elements and three loops (D, anti-codon, and T loops). Further hydrogen bonds mediate the characteristic L-shaped molecular structure. tRNAs have two regions of fundamental functional importance: the anti-codon, which is responsible for specific mRNA codon recognition, and the 3' end, to which the tRNAs corresponding amino acid is attached (by aminoacyl-tRNA synthetases). tRNAs cope with the degeneracy of the genetic code in two manners: having more than one tRNA (with a specific anti-codon) for a particular amino acid; and 'wobble' base-pairing, i.e. permitting non-standard base-pairing at the 3rd anti-codon position.
Source: RNAcentral
CGGGGUGUGGCGCAGCUUGGUAGCGCGCUUCGUUCGGGUCGAAGAGGUCAUCGGUUCGAAUCCGGUCACCCCGA